AGACUCAUAUGUUAAUGGCAAACGGCUUGACUCCAAAUCAAGCUAUCUGGGUUCGAUUCCUGGUGAGUCUG
This 71-nucleotide transfer RNA is filed under the name Lactobacillus crispatus. RNAcentral describes it as "tRNA-Trp". It matches the Rfam family "tRNA". From Rfam's summary of the family: Transfer RNA (tRNA) molecules are approximately 80 nucleotides in length. RNAcentral also lists the same sequence under 1 other name. The record is from RNAcentral. Lineage: Bacteria; Bacillati; Bacillota; Bacilli; Lactobacillales; Lactobacillaceae.